Molecule: long non-coding RNA, 561 nt
Organism: Camelus dromedarius (Arabian camel)
Lineage: Eukaryota; Metazoa; Chordata; Mammalia; Artiodactyla; Camelidae
Exons: 3
Source: RefSeq, a predicted model, not a curated record
GUUUAUUAGCUGGCGCGCGCCGCUGGACUCAGUUUUGUCGUGUACCGACUGCGACGUCUGCUCAGUUAUCAUUUUAGCUCUGUUUACCCCUCCCGGUCUUAACUGCAGACUGUUCACUAAAACAUCCGCCCAAGCUCAGAACUGGACUUUUGCUGCCUUGGACUUUCCCGCCUUCAACACUCCUCAGCGGCGGUGUAGCCGCUUGGACACGUAGGAGACCUCUUCUCAAACUGCUGCUCUGUGUGCUGGCACACAGGAGUGCUGGGUUAUAGGCAGUGGCCUUGCUAAGAUGGGAAAACCAAGGCACAGAGAGGUGAAGUAAUGUGUACAAGUCCAACAGGAAGUGGUGGAAUCACCAUCAGAACCCAAGCACCAGAUUCCAGAGCCACAUGGUAGCCACUGCAAUGUACUGCCUCACAUAAAUAAUGCCUCAAGCACAUCUGGUUGAUCGCAGGAGACUUAGGGGAGAGCCGGGCACCUCCGGCAGAAGACAGGGGCUCUAUUCCCUGGAGAAGACUCCCCGCCCAGCAGAGGAUGGCAGGCUGGACACCAGUGGGGGAU